This 131-nucleotide small nucleolar RNA is filed under the name Erinaceus europaeus (western European hedgehog). RNAcentral describes it as "Small nucleolar RNA SNORA31 (ENSEEUG00000023113.1)". The record is from RNAcentral. Lineage: Eukaryota; Metazoa; Chordata; Mammalia; Eulipotyphla; Erinaceidae.
AUGCAUCUCUCUCAUAGACCUGCAUCAGAUACUGUCCCAUUUCCAAGGUUCUCACUACAGAUGCAAGAGAAAUGUAUCACUGCACCUUCUGUCUGACUGUGGCAGCCAAGAUCAAAUUGGGGAAUAUAGUA